AGUAAAUAGAUACCCGGGUAGUCCACGCCGUAAACGAUGAGUACUAGGUGUAGGAGGUAUCGACUCCUUCUGUGCCGCAGUUAAACACAAUAAGUACUCCGCCUGGGAAGUACGGUCGCAAGAUUAAAACUCAAAGGAAUUGACGGGGGCCCGCACAAGCAGCGGAGCAUGUGGUUUAAAUUCGAAGCAACGCGAAGAACCUUACCUAGACUUGACAUCUCCUGAAUAGUGUAGAGAUACAUGAAGCCCUUCGGGGCGAGGAAGACAGGUGGUGCAUGGUUGUCGUCAGCUCGUGUCGUGAGAUG
This 305-nucleotide ribosomal RNA is filed under the name uncultured bacterium. RNAcentral describes it as "bacterial SSU rRNA". It matches the Rfam family "Bacterial small subunit ribosomal RNA", at positions 775 to 1074 of the family's 1533-position model. The record is from RNAcentral.